GUUGAAAGAUACCGAUGACGAUUACCGGUUGAAAGAUACCGAUGAUGAUUACCAGUUGAAAGAUAUCGAUGAUGAUUACCGUUGAAAGAUACCGAUGAUGAUUACUGGUUGAAAUAUACCGAUGAUGAUUACCGGUAGAAAGAUACCGAUGGUAUUGUAUGGUAUGUGGUAUGAUGGGGGAACUCACUAAGCUUUGUGCUUACGGUUUCAGUUUUAGGUUUCAGGUACCUCUUCAUCUAAGGGGAAGGAGCCGGCGGCAUAGCAUGGCAUCACACACACAUAUGAUUUUCCGCACGGUGUUUUCUGGGAUUGUACUCUGAUAUGACAUUUGUUCAUGGUUGUGGGUUUCAAAUAUGAUACUUGGUUUUGAGAUGACGUGUUUAUACAAUAUUUUGUAAUGAAUGUUUCAUGAAUUAAU
Molecule: long non-coding RNA, 418 nt
Filed under: Lactuca sativa (garden lettuce)
Lineage: Eukaryota; Viridiplantae; Streptophyta; Magnoliopsida; Asterales; Asteraceae
Description: long non-coding RNA (LSAT_LNC007697)
Source: RNAcentral